AUGCAGGAAGCCCAGGGAUUGCUAGAAAAUUGUCUUCCAAUGGAUCAGAAUUUAAGUGCUUUCCUCAUGGAAGGUUCAUCUGUCUCAUAGAGACUGGAAAAGAUUGAAUUGCCGGAGAAGCUGUUUCUUUUCACAUCUACUUUGACUUUGCUAGCAAACAUACCCAUAGCCUCCAUUCUUUAUUUGAAAAAUGAAGAUGAAUAAUAUUCUCUACAGCAUCAAAUGUAGUUUGGAUUAAAUGUUAUAAUGUAU
Mustela erminea (ermine) is the source of this 252-nucleotide long non-coding RNA. RefSeq lists it as uncharacterized. The transcript is spliced from 4 exons. The record is from RefSeq and is a predicted model, not a curated record. NCBI's taxonomy places the organism in Eukaryota, Metazoa, Chordata, Mammalia, Carnivora, Mustelidae.